UACGUAGGUGACAAGCGUUGUCCGGAUUUACUGGGCGUAAAGAGCGCGCAGGCGGUCGGUCAAGUCGAGUGUGAAAGCCCCCGGCUCAACUGGGGAGGGUCAUUCGAUACUGAUCGACUCGAAGGCAGGAGAGGGUAGUGGAAUUCCCGGUGUAGUGGUGAAAUGCGUAGAUAUCGGGAGGAACACCGGUGGCGAAGGCGGCUAUCUGGACCGAUACUGACGCUGAGACGCGAAAGCGUGGGGAGCAAACAGG
RNAcentral lists this ribosomal RNA (253 nucleotides) under uncultured bacterium. RNAcentral's name for it is "partial 16S ribosomal RNA". It matches the Rfam family "Bacterial small subunit ribosomal RNA", at positions 524 to 776 of the family's 1533-position model. The record is from RNAcentral.